UACGGAGGAUGCAAGCGUUAUCCGGAUUUAUUGGGUUUAAAGGGUGCGCAGGUGGUUGAAUAAGUCAGUGGUGAAAGUCUGCCGCUUAACGGUAGGAUUGCCAUUGAUACUGUUUGACUUGAGUUUAGGUGAGGUAGGCGGAAUGUGUAGUGUAGCGGUGAAAUGCAUAGAUAUUACACAGAACACCGAUUGCGAAGGCAGCUUACUAAUCUACAACUGACACUGAGGCA
RNAcentral lists this ribosomal RNA (230 nucleotides) under uncultured microorganism. RNAcentral describes it as "partial 16S ribosomal RNA". It matches the Rfam family "Bacterial small subunit ribosomal RNA", at positions 524 to 753 of the family's 1533-position model. The record is from RNAcentral.